This 482-nucleotide ribosomal RNA is filed under the name uncultured bacterium. RNAcentral describes it as "partial 16S ribosomal RNA". It matches the Rfam family "Bacterial small subunit ribosomal RNA", at positions 29 to 507 of the family's 1533-position model. The record is from RNAcentral.
AUUGAACGCUGGCGGCAUACCUUACACAUGCAAGUCGAACGGUAACGCGGGGCAACCUGGCGACGAGUGGCGAACGGGUGAGUAAUGCAUCGGAACGUGCCCAGAAGUGGGGGAUAGCCCGGCGAAAGCCGGAUUAAUACCGCAUGAGACCUGAGGGUGAAAGCGGGGGAUCGCAAGACCUCGCGCUUUUGGAGCGGCCGAUGUCAGAUUAGCUAGUUGGUGGGGUAAAGGCCUACCAAGGCGACGAUCUGUAGCUGGUCUGAGAGGACGACCAGCCACACUGGGACUGAGACACGGCCCAGACUCCUACGGGAGGCAGCAGUGGGGAAUUUUGGACAAUGGGCGCAAGCCUGAUCCAGCCAUGCCGCGUGCGGGAAGAAGGCCUUCGGGUUGUAAACCGCUUUUGUCAGGGAAGAAACGCUCUGGGCUAAUACCCUGGGGUAAUGACGGUACCUGAAGAAUAAGCACCGGCUAACUACGUG